RNAcentral lists this long non-coding RNA (1216 nucleotides) under Marmota monax (woodchuck). Lineage: Eukaryota; Metazoa; Chordata; Mammalia; Rodentia; Sciuridae. The record is from RNAcentral.
UGUUCAUUGAGCUCCUACUGUGUGCAGGUGCCAGAAACUUCACUACCACCUAUAGAAUUGGAGUGUCCCUGUUUCCAUGGGAGGAAGCAGCCAUGUCUCAAGGUCAUGGUGCAGGUCCCGGGUGGCCCUGGGGCCCAACCUACAUCUCUGUGCUAUGGGCUGACAUCGUGCUGCGGGUGUCCUCAAGACUACAUUUUUCUGACUGCCGGCUCUCAUGCAAGAAGAGUAGGGCUCUCAGUGUCCAGAGUCAGAGGAAGAGGCUGGGCUGAUGCCCAGGGCCAGGCUGAUGCCAGCAGUGAUGGUCACACUCCCUCAGUCCAGCCCUGAACUCUCAAAAGAAUUCAAAAGAGUCCCGAAUGCUACACAGGGACUUCCAACUGCCUACCUCGGUGGCCUGGGGUCAUCGGGACAACACCAGGCAGGAGCGUGGCUUGGAGCUGUCUGCUUUCCAAAUGUACUGCCGCAUUGAGUCUCAGGCAGCCUAGGGAUCUGGCGGGAGGGUAGCGCUGCGGUGACUGCAGGCUGCUAGUCGCGGGUAUGGGCUGCAGGUCCAGGUCCAUAGGAUACAGCCACAGCCGUGACCACCAGGAGAGGCACAUCUCAAUCCCGGAGGACCCUGGAGCAGUGGACGCCGACCCCCGCAGGGCUGCUCCCAGAUGGCGUCCAGCACCCGCCUGGGCCCCGGCAGCAGGGCGAGUGAAAGCCAGCAGGCCACAGCAUCCGUGGGUCCACGGCUCCCCUCCUGGUCACAUAGGAUGGUGGAAAUUGGGACUGAGGGUCAGCAGUGCCCCAAAGGGCACAGCUCUGAACAGAGACCCUGAGGAGGGAGAGAGCACCAAAGGUGAGAUCCUUCAGCCCCCAGAGGAACCAUGAGGGUGCCACAGGACACAGGCGGCAGAAGGACCUGUGUCCAGCCUCUCGACGCCCAUUCACACCUGUUCAGCGUCUCCAGAGCUUCCCACACGGGAGCAGCCCAGCUCGAUGUAGCUCCCUUUAACCUGUCCCCAGAAGUCAUCAAUCUUGACCUUCACUCUCUGACCUCCUUGAAAAACCUGAAGUUUCUGCCAGAAAACACAAAAAAAUCCCCAGGUUAUUCCCUGUUUUAAAAGGAAGUGAAAAAAAAAAAGUAUGUGAAUUUAUGUGCUAUUUUUUAUAUAGUUUUAAUUGCAAAUGCACUUUUAAACCUAAAGAGGCUUUUGUCAAAACUGGUCACGUG